AUUGAACGCUGGCGGCAGGCCUAACACAUGCAAGUCGAGCGGAUGAAGGGAGCUUGCUCCUGGAUUCAGCGGCGGACGGGUGAGUAAUGCCUAGGAAUCUGCCUGGUAGUGGGGGAUAACGUCCGGAAACGGGCGCUAAUACCGCAUACGUCCUGAGGGAGAAAGUGGGGGAUCUUCGGACCCCACGCUAUCAGAUGAGCCUAGGUCGGAUUAGCUAGUUGGUGGGGUAAAGGCCUACCAAGGCGACGAUCCGUAACUGGUCUGAGAGGAUGAUCAGUCACACUGGAACUGAGACACGGUCCAGACUCCUACGGGAGGCAGCAGUGGGGAAUAUUGGACAAUGGGCGAAAGCCUGAUCCAGCCAUGCCGCGUGUGUGAAGAAGGUCUGCGGAUUGUAAAGCACUUUAAGUUGGGAGGAAGGGCAGUAAGUUAAUACCUGGCUGUUUUGACGUUACCAACAGAAUAAGCACCGGCUAACUUCGU
RNAcentral lists this ribosomal RNA (483 nucleotides) under uncultured bacterium. Its description in RNAcentral is "partial 16S ribosomal RNA". It matches the Rfam family "Bacterial small subunit ribosomal RNA", at positions 30 to 506 of the family's 1533-position model. The record is from RNAcentral.